Molecule: long non-coding RNA, 983 nt
Organism: Papaver somniferum (opium poppy)
Lineage: Eukaryota; Viridiplantae; Streptophyta; Magnoliopsida; Ranunculales; Papaveraceae
Exons: 7
Source: RefSeq, a predicted model, not a curated record
UCUUCCUUACUCGCAGAGCAGCUGCAGCCUAAACCCUCUCUUGCCCAACUCUAUUUUCUCUUUAUUCCUCUAUUUGCAGUUUCUCAAUCUCCGAUCUCCUGUUUCUUCUCAGGCCUGAUCUAUAUAUCUCGAUUUAUUCUUUUAUUUUUCAUUUAGAUUUAGAUUUUGAUUCGUGUUAUUUAUUGGAAGCGAUGAAGAACACCUAAAACAUAUAACACUCACUCUUCUCCAAACAUCAUCGUUGGUUUAAGAUCAUCAAGAUCUGGGUGAUAUGGGCCUUGAAGCAGACAAAUAUGGUGUAUCUGGGAAAAAGAAUGUGUUGGCUUCUUUGCCACAAGAAACGCAAAGCUUCCGGACACCUCGUUGUCCGGCCUGGGUUCGAUCUUAUGGCACAGGAAGAUCAGCUUAUACUCAUGAAUUAUUCCUCGACGAUGGGAUAGAUCUAGAUACUUGUCUAAGAUCGCUAGCUCUCUUGCACGUCGCACGCUCGAUCACCACUAAUUGCUAAAGGUCGCGCGACUUAUUAAUGAAACCCAACUCUUUACCUUUAGCCAAAUAAAUGAAGCUUUCAUCUGCAUACGCAAAGCACAGGGCAUGCGUCUUUCAUUCUUCAAUUCCAUGAGCACGAGUACUAAGGGUCCUUGGGAUGGAAGAACUUAAAGUUAACUGGAGCAGAGGUAUUCAUACUUGCCCUCUUCUGUGCAAUGAAAGAGUUCAUAUAUUUAAGCUUAAGUAAACAGUAUGGGCAGGUACUUCAUGUAUUUGUAUUUCAGUUUUUUUUCCCCUUAGAGAAUCCAACAAUGAAGAGUUCAUUUUCCGUUUAAAACAUUUUGUAAGAUUCCUUGAUGUAAUAUUAAGUUAAUAGAUAUAUCCAAAUGACAGUUUUUGUUGCGUCAUGGCUGUUGUAUUGUGUUUCAUAGUUCAAUUAUAAUUUUAUGUUGAAUGUGAGGGUUCGUUGAUUGAAUUAUCAGAACAGGAAGAGU